RNAcentral lists this ribosomal RNA (434 nucleotides) under uncultured Clostridium sp. RNAcentral describes it as "partial 16S ribosomal RNA". It matches the Rfam family "Bacterial small subunit ribosomal RNA", at positions 341 to 792 of the family's 1533-position model. The record is from RNAcentral. RNAcentral also lists the same sequence under 1 other name. Lineage: Bacteria; Bacillati; Bacillota; Clostridia; Eubacteriales; Clostridiaceae.
ACGGAAGGCAGCAGUGGGGAAUAUUGCACAAUGGGCGAAAGCCUGAUGCAGCGACGCCGCGUGAGUGAAGAAGUAUCUCGGUAUGUAAAGCUCUAUCAGCAGGGAAGAAAAUGACGGUACCUGACUAAGAAGCCCCGGCUAACUACGUGCCAGCAGCCGCGGUAAUACGUAGGGGGCAAGCGUUAUCCGGAUUUACUGGGUGUAAAGGGAGCGUAGACGGUUUGGCAAGUCUGAAGUGAAAUGCGGGGGCUCAACUCCUGAACUGCUUUGGAAACUGUCGAACUAGAGUGCAGGAGAGGUAAGUGGAAUUCCUAGUGUAGCGGUGAAAUGCGUAGAUAUUAGGAGGAACACCAGUGGCGAAGGCGGCUUACUGGACUGUAACUGACGUUGAGGCUCGAAAGCGUGGGGAGCAAGCAGGAUUAGAUACCCUGGUA